GAUGAAGAACGCAGCGAAAUGCGAUAAGUAAUGUGAAUUGCAGAAUUCAGUGAAUCAUCGAAUCUUUGAACGCACAUUGCGCCCGCCAGUAUUCUGGCGGGCAUGCCUGUCCGAGCGUCAUUUCAACCCUCGCGCCCAUCUGGGCUGCGGUGUUGGGGACCGGCCUGCCCCCCCGGGGCGCGCCGCCCCCCAAAUUCAGUGGCGGUCUCGCUGCAGCCUCCCUUGCGUAGUAGCACACCUCGCACCGGAGCGCAGCGCGGCCACGCCGUAAAACCCCCGACCCCCAUGAGUUUGAACUCGGAUCAGGUAGGAAUACCCGCUGAACUUAAGCAUAUCAAUAAGCGGAGGA
Molecule: unclassified non-coding RNA, 349 nt
Filed under: soil metagenome
Description: partial contains 5.8S ribosomal RNA, internal transcribed spacer 2, and large subunit ribosomal RNA
Rfam family: 5.8S ribosomal RNA (bases 1-120)
Source: RNAcentral